GGUGUAGGAUUAAGGACUUAAGUGCGCGCAAUGGAUGCCUUGGCGGUUGAGGGCGACGAAGGACGUGCCAAUACACGAAAACUCCGGCGUGCCUAUUGGGGCGGCAACCCGGUGGUGUCCGAAUGGGGGAACCUGGGCUCUAGGUGAGCCCGUCCUGGCCUGAAUAUAUAGGGCCAGGACGCGCACGCGGCGAACUGAAACAUCUCAGUAGCCGCAGGAGAAGAAAUCAAAGAGAUUCCCAUAGUAGCGGCGAGCGAAACGGGAGGAGCCUGCGUAGGCGCCCCCAUAGCAGCAGCCGAAGGCCAUGGAACGGGCAACCGUAGACGGUGACAGUCCGGUAGGCUAAGCUGCAUGGGGUCAGACAACCUGCGCUUUAGAGUAGGGCGGGGCACGCUAACCCUGUCUGAAGAUGGGGGGCCCAUCCUCCAAGGCUAAAUACCCACAACCGACCGAUAGUGAACAAGUACCGCGAGGGAAAGGUGAAAAGAGCUCUGGGGGAGCAGUGAAACAGACCUGAAAUUGCGCGCAUACGAACAGUCGGAGCCCCAUAGGCUGGGGGUGACGGCGUACCUUUUGUAUAAUGGGUCAGCGACUUAUGUUCGGCAGCGAGCUUAACUCCAUGAGGGAGGCGUAGCGAAAGCGAGUCUGACAAGGGCGCCGUAGUUGCCGGAUAUAGACCCGAAACCAGGUGAUCUACCCAUGGGCAGGAUGAUGGCGCGUUAAGCCGCACCGGAGGUCCGAACCCACUAACGUUGCAAAGUUAGGGGAUGACUUGUGGGUAGGGGUGAAAGGCCAAGCAAACCUGGAGAUAGCUGGUUCUCUCCGAAAGCUAUUGGGGUAGCGCCCCGUGUUUUUUGCUCCUGGCGGUAGAGCACUGUAGUGGCCUUGGGGUCCGAGAGGGCUACCUUGCCAUAGCAAACUCCGAAUACCGGGGCAGCAUGAGCACGGGAGACACACGGCGGGUGCUAACAUCCGUCGUGAAAAGGGAAACAACCCAGACCACAAGCUAAGGUCCCAAAGCAUGGCUAAGUGUGGAACGAUGUGGGCAGGCUCUGACAAUCAGGAGGUGGGCUUAGAAGCAGCCAUCCUUUAAAGAAAGCGUAACAGCUCACUGAUCUAGCCGGUUUGCGCGGAAGAUGUAGCGGGGCUAAGCCAUGCACCGAAGCUGUGGACGCACGGAGUGUGCGUGGUAGGAGAGCUUUCCGUAGGCCUGCGAAGGGGGGCCGGUAGGCCUCUUGGAGGUAUCGGAAGCGCGAAUGCUGACAUGAGUAGCAAGAAAGGGGGUGAGAAUCCCCCUCACCGUAAGCCCAAGGUUUCCUACGCCAUGAUCGUCAGCGUGGGGUCAGUCGGUCCUAAGGUGAGGCAGAAGUGCGUAGCCGAUGGGAAACAGGUUAAUAUUCCUGUACUACGGUGCGCCAGCGAUGGGGGCACAGGCCGCGUGUCGCAGGCUGCCUAGCGAGAACGCAGUUGCUGUGCUGUGGGGAUGCAUUGGAAAGCCCGUGCUUGUACUCGUGCGAACUCCCCUGGGCAUGGCACUCAAGCUGCGGCGUACGGCCUCAGGAAACACCCCUAAGCACCACAAAGCGCACCGUGUCCGUACCGCAAACCGACACAGGUGGGCGUGAUGAACAUUCUCAGGUGCAUGGGAGAACUCGGGAGAAGGAACUCGGCAAAUUAAUACCGUAACUUCGGGAUAAGGUAUGCCAGGGCUCGCAUCGCCGUAAGGCACGGCGCGGCAGCCCGGGCUGCAACGAAUAGGUAGCUGCGACUGUUUAUUAAAAACACAGCACUGUGCUAACACGCAAGUGGACGUAUACAGUGUGACGCCUGCCCGGUGCCGGAAGAUUAAUGUAGGGGGUGAGAGCUCCCGAGCAAAGUCCUGGUAAACGGCGGCCGUAACUAUAACGGUCCUAAGGUAGCGAAAUUCCUUGUCGGGUAAGUUCCGACCUGCACGAAUGGCGUAACGAUGGCUACACUGUCUCCUCCCGAGGCCCAGCGAAAUUGAAGUGGUUGUGAUGAUGCAAUCUACCCACGGCUAGACGGAAAGACCCCGUGAACCUUUACUGCAGCUUUGUACUGAGCUUUGAGGCUGGGCGCGUAGGAUAUGUGGGAGACUAUGAAGCCGGGCAACAGCCCCUGCUGAGUCGCAGGUGAAAUACCACUCACUCCGCCUCAACCCUCUAACCAGCGCCAUUACCUGGCGCUGGGACAGUGCAUGGUAGGCAGUUUGACUGGGGCGGUCUCCUCACAAAGCGUAACUGAGGAGCACAAAGGUACGCUAAGCACGGUUGGCAAGCGUGCCUAAAGCGCAAUGGCAUAAGCGUGCUUGACUGCGAGACAAACGUGUCGAGCAGAUGCGAAAGCAGGUCAUAGUGAUCCGGUGGUUCUGUAUGGAAAGGCCAUCGCUCAACGGAUAAAAGGUACUCCGGGGAUAACAGGCUUAUACCGCUCGAGAGUUCUUAUCGACAGCGGUGUUUGGCACCUCGAUGUCGGCUCAUCUCAUCCUGGGGCUGCAGCAGGUCCCAAGGGUAUGGCUGUUCGCCAUUUAAAGAGGUACGUGAGCUGGGUUUAAAACGUCGUGAGACAGUUUGGUCCCUAUCUACCGUGGGCGUAGGAUACCUGAGGGGAGCUGCUCCUAGUACGAGAGGACCGGAGUGGACAAACCUCUAGUGUGCCGGUUGUCGUCUCAAUGGCAUCGCCGGGUAGCCACGUUUGGCAGGGAUAACUGCUGAAGGCAUAUAAGCAGGAAGCCUACCCUAAGAUUAGGUAUCCCCUAUAAUAAGGGCCGUUCAAGACAAGAACGUUGAUAGGCUGGGUGUGUAAGCGUAGCGAUACGUUGAGCUGACCAGUACUAAUUCGCCCGUGAGACUUAAUCCU
RNAcentral lists this ribosomal RNA (2877 nucleotides) under Candidatus Tremblaya princeps PCVAL. RNAcentral describes it as "bacterial LSU rRNA". It matches the Rfam family "Bacterial large subunit ribosomal RNA". The record is from RNAcentral. Lineage: Bacteria; Pseudomonadati; Pseudomonadota; Betaproteobacteria.